CAUGUAAAUCAUGUCCCUGUGGUUACAUAUUUAUUAGCAGAAAACUUUUAAAUGCAAAGCACCCAGAGAAAUCACCACCUUCAACAGGAUCACCAUCCACAGCACACCUGACUGGCCCUGGGUUGGACAGAGAGUUUGCUGUCACAGUUUAGUGAAGAACGAUGACAUUGGCCCCACAGGACUAGUGGCUCAGUGAUACCAUCGAGGACCUAGGUUCUUCUCUUCCUUCCAUCCUGGGAAGCUGUGGCUUCCACCCUAUGACAAGGCAGCUGUUUCACCCCAGGCAGCCCACAGCACCCUAAGCAGGAAGAGAGGGAAGGCAGAGGGGCUGGCCAGCCAUGCUCAUCCCCUUAAAAAGUCUUUCUGGAAACCUUCCUCAUCCACUGACAUGUCACUGGCCAGAAGUGGAUUUCACGGCCGCUUCACAUGAGGAGUCUCAGAUAAAACAAACAUGAGGCCAAGAGGAGGCGCACAGAGAGAGCUAGGAGAGAGAAGAUGCACCCGACAGGACAUAAG
Molecule: long non-coding RNA, 516 nt
Organism: Myotis brandtii (Brandt's bat)
Lineage: Eukaryota; Metazoa; Chordata; Mammalia; Chiroptera; Vespertilionidae
Exons: 3
Source: RefSeq, a predicted model, not a curated record